AACAAAACUACAGCAAGACACAGAAAGGUGUGAGCUCUGGAACUACACAGUUCAUCCAUUCUCCAUGCAGUCUUUCAUUUUGAAAGGAGACACCUUCUAUAGAAGAUAUUUAUUUACUCCCCACAAGAGAUGAAAGAAAUCCUGUAGUAUAUGGAGUCUUUACUACAACCAGCUCCAUCUUCAAAGGCUCUGCUGUUUGUGUGUAUAGCAUGGCUGACAUCAGAGCAGUUUUUAAUGGUCCAUAUGCUCAUAAGGAAAGUGCAGACCAUCGUUGGGUGCAGUAUGAUGGGAGAAUUCCUUAUCCACGGCCUGGUACAUGUCCAAGCAAAACCUAUGACCCACUGAUUAAAUCCACCCGAGAUUUUCCAGAUGAUGUCAUCAGUUUCAUAAAGCGGCACUCUGUGAUGUAUAAGUCCGUAUACCCAGUUGCAGGAGGACCAACGUUCAAGAGAAUCAAUGUGGAUUACAGACUGACACAGAUAGUGGUGGAUCAUGUCAUUGCAGAAGAUGGCCAGUACGAUGUAAUGUUUCUUGGAACAGACAUUGGAACUGUCCUCAAAGUUGUCAGCAUUUCAAAGGAAAAGUGGAAUAUGGAAGAGGUAGUGCUGGAGGAGUUGCAGAUAUUCAAGCACUCAUCAAUCAUCUUGAACAUGGAAUUGUCUCUGAAGCAGCAACAAUUGUACAUUGGUUCCCGAGAUGGAUUGGUUCAGCUCUCCUUGCACAGAUGCGACACUUAUGGGAAAGCUUGCGCAGACUGUUGUCUUGCCAGAGACCCCUACUGUGCCUGGGAUGGAAAUGCAUGCUCUCGAUAUGCUCCUACUUCUAAAAGGAGAGCUAGACGCCAAGAUGUAAAAUAUGGCGACCCAAUCACCCAGUGCUGGGACAUCGAAGACAGCAUUAGUCAUGAAACUGCUGAUGAAAAGGUGAUUUUUGGCAUUGAAUUUAACUCAACCUUUCUGGAAUGUAUACCUAAAUCCCAACAAGCAACUAUUAAAUGGUAUAUCCAGAGGUCAGGGGAUGAGCAUCGAGAGGAGUUGAAGCCCGAUGAAAGAAUCAUCAAAACGGAAUAUGGGCUACUGAUUCGAAGUUUGCAGAAGAAGGAUUCUGGGAUGUAUUACUGCAAAGCACAGGAGCACACUUUCAUCCACACCAUAGUGAAGCUGACUUUGAACGUCAUUGAGAAUGAACAGAUGGAAAAUACCCAGAGGGCAGAGCAUGAGGAGGGGCAGGUCAAGGAUCUAUUGGCUGAGUCACGGUUGAGAUACAAAGACUACAUCCAAAUCCUUAGCAGCCCAAACUUCAGCCUCGACCAGUACUGCGAACAGAUGUGGCACAGGGAGAAGCGGAGACAGAGAAACAAGGGGGGCCCAAAGUGGAAGCACAUGCAGGAAAUGAAGAAGAAACGAAAUCGAAGACAUCACAGAGACCUGGAUGAGCUCCCUAGAGCUGUGGCCACGUAGUUUUCUACUUAAUUUAAAGAAAAGAAUUCCUUACCUAUAAAAA
Molecule: small RNA, 1503 nt
Filed under: Pan troglodytes (chimpanzee)
Lineage: Eukaryota; Metazoa; Chordata; Mammalia; Primates; Hominidae
Description: processed transcript
Source: RNAcentral